AGCGUACACGGUGGAUGCCCUGGCAGUCAGAGGCGAUGAAGGACGUGCUAAUCUGCGAUAAGCGUCGGUAAGGUGAUAUGAACCGUUAUAACCGGCGAUUUCCGAAUGGGGAAACCCAGUGUGAUUCGUCACACUAUCAUUAACUGAAUCCAUAGGUUAAUGAGGCGAACCGGGGGAACUGAAACAUCUAAGUACCCCGAGGAAAAGAAAUCAACCGAGAUUCCCCCAGUAGCGGCGAGCGAACGGGGAGCAGCCCAGAGCCUGAAUCAGUGUGUGUGUUAGUGGAAGCGUCUGGAAAGGCGCGCGAUACAGGGUGACAGCCCCGUACACAAAAAUGCACAUACUGUGAGCUCGAUGAGUAGGGCGGGACACGUGGUAUCCUGUCUGAAUAUGGGGGGACCAUCCUCCAAGGCUAAAUACUCCUGACUGACCGAUAGUGAACCAGUACCGUGAGGGAAAGGCGAAAAGAACCCCGGCGAGGGGAGUGAAAAAGAACCUGAAACCGUGUACGUACAAGCAGUGGGAGCACAGAGCAAUCUGUGUGACUGCGUACCUUUUGUAUAAUGGGUCAGCGACUUAUAUUCUGUAGCAAGGUUAACCGAAUAGGGGAGCCGAAGGGAAACCGAGUCUUAACUGGGCGUUAAGUUGCAGGGUAUAGACCCGAAACCCGGUGAUCUAGCCAUGGGCAGGUUGAAGGUUGGGUAACACUAACUGGAGGACCGAACCGACUAAUGUUGAAAAAUUAGCGGAUGACUUGUGGCUGGGGGUGAAAGGCCAAUCAAACCGGGAGAUAGCUGGUUCUCCCCGAAAGCUAUUUAGGUAGCGCCUCGUGAAUUCAUCUCCGGGGGUAGAGCACUGUUUCGGCAAGGGGGUCAUCCCGACUUACCAACCCGAUGCAAACUGCGAAUACCGGAGAAUGUUAUCACGGGAGACACACGGCGGGUGCUAACGUCCGUCGUGAAGAGGGAAACAACCCAGACCGCCAGCUAAGGUCCCAAAGUCAUGGUUAAGUGGGAAACGAUGUGGGAAGGCCCAGACAGCCAGGAUGUUGGCUUAGAAGCAGCCAUCAUUUAAAGAAAGCGUAAUAGCUCACUGGUCGAGUCGGCCUGCGCGGAAGAUGUAACGGGGCUAAACCAUGCACCGAAGCUGCGGCAGCGACGCUUAUGCGUUGUUGGGUAGGGGAGCGUUCUGUAAGCCUGCGAAGGUGUGCUGUGAGGCAUGCUGGAGGUAUCAGAAGUGCGAAUGCUGACAUAAGUAACGAUAAAGCGGGUGAAAAGCCCGCUCGCCGGAAGACCAAGGGUUCCUGUCCAACGUUAAUCGGGGCAGGGUGAGUCGACCCCUAAGGCGAGGCCGAAAGGCGUAGUCGAUGGGAAACAGGUUAAUAUUCCUGUACUUGGUGUUACUGCGAAGGGGGGACGGAGAAGGCUAUGUUGGCCGGGCGACGGUUGUCCCGGUUUAAGCGUGUAGGCUGGUUUUCCAGGCAAAUCCGGAAAAUCAAGGCUGAGGCGUGAUGACGAGGCACUACGGUGCUGAAGCAACAAAUGCCCUGCUUCCAGGAAAAGCCUCUAAGCAUCAGGUAACAUCAAAUCGUACCCCAAACCGACACAGGUGGUCAGGUAGAGAAUACCAAGGCGCUUGAGAGAACUCGGGUGAAGGAACUAGGCAAAAUGGUGCCGUAACUUCGGGAGAAGGCACGCUGAUAUGUAGGUGAAGUCCCUCGCGGAUGGAGCUGAAAUCAGUCGAAGAUACCAGCUGGCUGCAACUGUUUAUUAAAAACACAGCACUGUGCAAACACGAAAGUGGACGUAUACGGUGUGACGCCUGCCCGGUGCCGGAAGGUUAAUUGAUGGGGUCAGCGCAAGCGAAGCUCUUGAUCGAAGCCCCGGUAAACGGCGGCCGUAACUAUAACGGUCCUAAGGUAGCGAAAUUCCUUGUCGGGUAAGUUCCGACCUGCACGAAUGGCGUAAUGAUGGCCAGGCUGUCUCCACCCGAGACUCAGUGAAAUUGAACUCGCUGUGAAGAUGCAGUGUACCCGCGGCAAGACGGAAAGACCCCGUGAACCUUUACUAUAGCUUGACACUGAACAUUGAGCCUUGAUGUGUAGGAUAGGUGGGAGGCUUAGAAGUGUGGACGCCAGUCUGCAUGGAGCCGACCUUGAAAUACCACCCUUUAAUGUUUGAUGUUCUAACGUUGACCCGUAAUCCGGGUUGCGGACAGUGUCUGGUGGGUAGUUUGACUGGGGCGGUCUCCUCCUAAAGAGUAACGGAGGAGCACGAAGGUUGGCUAAUCCUGGUCGGACAUCAGGAGGUUAGUGCAAUGGCAUAAGCCAGCUUGACUGCGAGCGUGACGGCGCGAGCAGGUGCGAAAGCAGGUCAUAGUGAUCCGGUGGUUCUGAAUGGAAGGGCCAUCGCUCAACGGAUAAAAGGUACUCCGGGGAUAACAGGCUGAUACCGCCCAAGAGUUCAUAUCGACGGCGGUGUUUGGCACCUCGAUGUCGGCUCAUCACAUCCUGGGGCUGAAGUAGGUCCCAAGGGUAUGGCUGUUCGCCAUUUAAAGUGGUACGCGAGCUGGGUUUAGAACGUCGUGAGACAGUUCGGUCCCUAUCUGCCGUGGGCGCUGGAGAACUGAGGGGGGCUGCUCCUAGUACGAGAGGACCGGAGUGGACGCAUCACUGGUGUUCGGGUUGUCAUGCCAAUGGCACUGCCCGGUAGCUAAAUGCGGAAGAGAUAAGUGCUGAAAGCAUCUAAGCACGAAACUUGCCCCGAGAUGAGUUCUCCCUGACUCCUUGA
This 2789-nucleotide ribosomal RNA is filed under the name Escherichia coli. RNAcentral describes it as "bacterial LSU rRNA". It matches the Rfam family "Bacterial large subunit ribosomal RNA". The record is from RNAcentral. Lineage: Bacteria; Pseudomonadati; Pseudomonadota; Gammaproteobacteria; Enterobacterales; Enterobacteriaceae.